Molecule: ribosomal RNA, 164 nt
Filed under: Dendroviguiera oaxacana
Lineage: Eukaryota; Viridiplantae; Streptophyta; Magnoliopsida; Asterales; Asteraceae
Description: Viguiera oaxacana 5.8S ribosomal RNA
Rfam family: 5.8S ribosomal RNA
About the family: 5.8S ribosomal RNA (5.8S rRNA) is a component of the large subunit of the eukaryotic ribosome. It is transcribed by RNA polymerase I as part of the 45S precursor that also contains 18S and 28S rRNA. Functionally, it is thought that 5.8S rRNA may be involved in ribosome translocation.
Source: RNAcentral
AAAACGACUCUCGGCAACGGAUAUCUCGGCUCACGCAUCGAUGAAGAACGUAGCAAAAUGCGAUACUUGGUGUGAAUUGCAGAAUCCCGUGAACCAUCGAGUUUUUGAACGCARGUUGCGCCCGAAGCCAUCCGGUUGAGGGCACGUCUGCCUGGGCGUCACGC